CCUACGGGCGGCAGCAGUGAGGAAUAUUGGUCAAUGGACGAGAGUCUGAACCAGCCAAGUAGCGUGAAGGAUGACUGCCCUAUGGGUUGUAAACUUCUUUUAUAUGGGAAUAAAGUGUUCCACGUGUGGGAUUUUGUAUGUACCAUAUGAAUAAGGAUCGGCUAACUCCGUGCCAGCAGCCGCGGUAAUACGGAGGAUCCGAGCGUUAUCCGGAUUUAUUGGGUUUAAAGGGAGCGUAGGUGGAUUGUUAAGUCAGUUGUGAAAGUUUGCGGCUCAACCGUAAAAUUGCAGUUGAAACUGGCAGUCUUGAGUACAGUAGAGGUGGGCGGAAUUCGUGGUGUAGCGGUGAAAUGCUUAGAUAUCACGAAGAACUCCGAUUGCGAAGGCAGUUCACUGGACUGCAACUGACACUGAGGCUCGAAAGUGUGGGUAUCAAACAGGAUUAGAUACCCUAGUAGUC
Molecule: ribosomal RNA, 460 nt
Filed under: uncultured bacterium
Lineage: Bacteria
Description: partial 16S ribosomal RNA
Rfam family: Bacterial small subunit ribosomal RNA
Source: RNAcentral